GAUCAUGGCUCAGGAUGAACGCUAGCUACAGGCUUAACACAUGCAAGUCGAGGGGCAUCAGUUUGGUUUGCUUGCAAACCAAAGCUGGCGACCGGCGCACGGGUGAGUAACACGUAUCCAACCUGCCUCAUACUCGGGGAUAGCCUUUCGAAAGAAAGAUUAAUAUCCGAUAGCAUAUAUUUCCCGCAUGGGUUUUAUAUUAAAGAAAUUCGGUAUGAGAUGGGGAUGCGUUCCAUUUAGG
This 241-nucleotide ribosomal RNA is filed under the name uncultured bacterium. RNAcentral describes it as "partial 16S ribosomal RNA". It matches the Rfam family "Bacterial small subunit ribosomal RNA", at positions 15 to 245 of the family's 1533-position model. The record is from RNAcentral.